UCCACCAACCGUCCCUAUCCUAAGUGGCAAAGGGUUUGAUGGUUGGUACCUGAGGUCCUAAGUUCGAAUUCUUGUUGAUUCACAUUUCCAGCUAAGUUUAUUUCUAAAUAAAAUAAACGAAACGAGUAGCGUGCUACCUAUCUCUCGAAAAAAAAAAUUCCAUUUUUCCUAACUUUAUGAAAAGGUUACUAAUAUAUUUU
This 200-nucleotide long non-coding RNA is filed under the name Ananas comosus (pineapple). RNAcentral's name for it is "long non-coding RNA (ACOM_LNC008043)". Lineage: Eukaryota; Viridiplantae; Streptophyta; Magnoliopsida; Poales; Bromeliaceae. The record is from RNAcentral.